This 205-nucleotide unclassified non-coding RNA is filed under the name soil metagenome. RNAcentral's name for it is "partial contains 5.8S ribosomal RNA, internal transcribed spacer 2, and large subunit ribosomal RNA". The record is from RNAcentral.
AACACUGUUAACCUGCGGUACCUGCGGAAGGAUCAUUACCGAGUUUACAACUCCCAAACCCCUGUGAACAUACCUAUAUGUUGCCUCGGCGGAUCAGCCCGCGCCCCGUAAAACGGGACGGCCCGCCGCAGGAUCCACAAACUCUGUUUUUAUUGUAACUUCUGAGUAACAAAACAAAUAAAUCAAAACUUUUAACAAUGGAUCU